CUGAAAGGCAAUGUGGGGGAGUUUGACCAGCAGCCAGCAGGUCUUCAGGGAGAGCCGGACUCUUCUCCACCUUGACAAUGCAAGGCAAAGGUUCUUGACUCAAGCACUGGGAUUUGGAUUCAGAGGGACCAAGGCAGAGUGGCUCUGAAGAUAUAUGAGCCUGCUCUAGACUACACCCUGACCCAGAAGACUGAUGUCAGGAACAUAACAGAUGGUGUAACCAGAAGGACCUUCAGGGUAGACAUCACAGCACUUCUGUGCCCUGGCUUCCAUCACUGCACUGGGUGGCUGUGAGGGAGCCACUCACUGGGAAGACUGGAGACAUGUGAACUCCAUGUCCUGCUUUUGUAACCUUCUUAGAAACUUGUAACCACUUUGAGGUACAUGAAACUUUAGCGUGAGGAGGAACCCAUGGCAGAAGUACUUGGGGUACAUGAAAGCCACCUUCCUGGGGAGCUUGAAGGUGAUUCAGGCAUCAAAUGGUUCCUGACAACUCAGAUCUUUGGCAGGG
This 511-nucleotide long non-coding RNA is filed under the name Cricetulus griseus (Chinese hamster). RNAcentral describes it as "lncRNA (ENSCGRG00015010359.2)". Lineage: Eukaryota; Metazoa; Chordata; Mammalia; Rodentia; Cricetidae. The record is from RNAcentral.